This 253-nucleotide ribosomal RNA is filed under the name uncultured bacterium. Its description in RNAcentral is "partial 16S ribosomal RNA". It matches the Rfam family "Bacterial small subunit ribosomal RNA", at positions 524 to 776 of the family's 1533-position model. The record is from RNAcentral.
UACGGAGGGUGCAAGCGUUAUCCGGAUUCACUGGGCUUAAAGGGUGCGUAGGUGGGCUGGUAAGUCCGUGGUGAAAUCUCCAAGCUUAACUUGGAAACUGCCGUGGAUACUAUUAGUCUUGAAUCUCGUGGAGGUAAGCGGAAUAUGUCAUGUAGCGGUGAAAUGCUUAGAUAUGACAUAGAACACCGAUAGCGAAGGCAGCUUGCUACACGAGUAUUGACACUGAGGCACGAAAGCGUGGGGAGCAAACAGG